GGGCUGGCGUUUGGUCAUCUGAUGGAGGUUUCUCUGCUGGCUUAGCUGUGGGAUGAUAUGGCCAAAUCAUAUGGGGGUACUUUGGAAAUUGAGGCUUCUGGGUUGGUGCAUGGGUAUCUGUAGUAGGAUCCUCUGCUGACUCAGCUGUGGGAUAACCCUUGCCAGGAUAAUGGGAAUAGGGAUAUGGCCACAUCAUAUGGGGGUGCUUUGGAAAUUGAGGGUUCUGGUUUGGUGCUUGGACAUCGCUAGAAUGUUCCUCCGCCGGCCCAGCUGUGGGAUAACCCUUUCCAGUAUAAUGGGAAUAGGGAUAUGGCCACAUCAUAUGGGGGUGCUUUGGAAAUUGAGGGUUCUGGUUUGGUGCUUGGACAUCGCUAGAAUGUUCCUCCGCCGGCCCAGCUGUGGGAUAACCCUUGCCAGGAUAAUGGUAACGAGGGUAGUAGUAAGGCCAAAACUCUUGUGGAAACACUUGAGGGUACCCAUAAGGUAGAGGUUUGAGUGUUGCAGAUAGUUCUGUCAUAGUUAUUGUAGUAACUUUAUCAGAAAAAAGGGGAGGCAGCAGAAUCUGUUGAUAUGAAAGAGAAUGAGGUCCUAUGAAGGUUUCGUUUGCAGUUGUAGAGGUCAUAGGACAAGAAAUGACUGCACCGUUUCCCUGCCACUGCAUCUGCAUUACAUAACUCCCGCCCUGAAAGACAACAUGAACAAUACAGGUUGGUCUUCCUUACGCUGUGCUCAUAAUGCACUGAAU
Molecule: long non-coding RNA, 745 nt
Filed under: Sinocyclocheilus grahami
Lineage: Eukaryota; Metazoa; Chordata; Actinopteri; Cypriniformes; Cyprinidae
Description: lncRNA (ENSSGRG00000023405.1)
Source: RNAcentral